This is a long non-coding RNA of Amphiprion ocellaris (clown anemonefish), 3640 nucleotides long. NCBI's taxonomy places the organism in Eukaryota, Metazoa, Chordata, Actinopteri, Pomacentridae. The record is from Ensembl.
UCAUUUCUCCGUCACCUGCUAACAUCACCCUCCUUUGGACAAUUUACUGUCCAACCAUCCAGAGUCUACGCACUCAGUGUAUGUCUCGUGGUGGGGUACGCACUCACACUUGACAUUUGAGCAAGACAUUUAGGAACGAAGGGAAGUACAGAGCGUUUUCUUGGGAGAGACUGGGAUUGUUUUGGGAGUAUAUGUUUUUUUCAUGUUUUCUCUGACAGCAUGGAGUACUGCACUUUGAAAGGAUUCCUGGUGGUUUUGCUGAUACAACACUGCAAGUCUGAAGAUCUGUCUACCUCCAUCCAAUCCUCCACUGCGGUCGCCCACCAAGAUGGCCAGAGCUUACCCCAGGAUCCAGAGUUGCCCCCCGCAGAAGUGGUACCAGUAGCGUCCCCUCCUAGCCUGAAGGAGGUGCAGCAGGCCGUGCAGGAGGCAUCAGAGCAGGUGGAGGGUCGUGGGGCUGAGGAAGUGCUGAAGGAGCUGCUGGAGAGAGUGGUGGAGGCAGCUCUGGGACAGGCGGAAGCAGGGAACGACGCAAAAGCGGAUGUAGUGCAGGAAGCGGUUGAGGAGGAUUCACUGGGGACAAAAUCAAAAGAGAGUGAAGCUGAGGUAGAAGUGCUAGAGGAGGCAGUGGAGGAUGAAGAUAUGGGGGACAAGGAGGAAGAUACCGGUGUUGAAGAGAAGCAGGAGGUAGCAGAGGUGGAUGCACUUGAAGAUGUGGCCGAGGAGGGGAAAGGAGUUGUCGAGGCAGAGGGUGAAACAGCAGCUGGAUCUGUGGAGAAGACCACAGCCGCUGUAGAAACUGAAGUCAGACAGACAGAGGGUGUGGAGGUUAUCGAUGAGUCGCUGGGAAGUGAGGAGGAGGUUGUGGAAGGAGCUGUGGCUGCUUUAGAAGAGAAAGGAGGGGAUUUGGCCAUAGAGGAGGCAGGGGAGGAGGACAGCGAGGAUCAGGUCGUGUUGUCUGAAGAAAAAGGAGCAGCUGAAACAGAAAUACAGGAAGCAGAGGAAGCCCCAGCUGCUGUAGAGGUGGCAGUAAUUGGACAGCCAGAUCAGGAGACUGUGGAAGAGUCUGAACCAUGGCUAGGAGAGGCUGACGUGGAGCAGAUAGGGCAUGAUGGGUCGAGAGAAGAGGCUCUGGGGGAUGAAACUCAGGUAGAUGAAACAGAACGUGAAGAGAUAAUAGUGCCUUCUGAUAAUUAUGACAUAGAAGCCACACAAAGUGUAGUAGGAGAUACAGGAGAGGAGGAGGAAGAGGAAGAAAACAUAGUAAUGGAUCCUGAAGGGCCAGAAGGAGAAGAUGGGUAUUUAGUGGAGGGAGGAACUGCAGAAGAGGAAGAAGCAGAAGGUACAGAUGUAGGGGAAGUAACAGGAGAUGAAAUAGAAGGAGAGAGUGUAAUCAAGGAGGAAUCGGUGGUAUUGGUGAAUGAGGAAAGCGUUCAAAAAGCAGGGGAGGAGGAGCAGAUUGCUUUGGAGACUUCAAACGGUGGUGAAAAGGAGGAUGAAGAAGUGGUCUCAGAGCCUGCGGAUGGUGAAGAAGCCUCAAUGGAGCAGAGCCCUGAGAACCAGGCUCCCACCUCAAACCCAUCCCUCAGUGAGGUGGAAACUGGAGAAAACACUCCUGAUGAGGAGAAGUCAGACCACGGCAACGAGAUCAUCACCACCACCGAUGACCUUUUGCCACAGGAGUCCUCUGUGGCUCAACCUACACUAGAUAAUUUCAUGAAUGGUGUUCUAGGUGAACAACCCGAGGCACAAGGAGAGGAACUAGGAGAGGCCAAUGAGCUGGUAGAAGAUACAGCUGGAACUACAGAGACAAAUGAGCUAGGCCUGGAGGCAUGGAAGAUAGGGGCUAUUUCCGCUGCAGUGUUCUUGGUUUUGGAGACUGUUGUCAUCAUUAUCUAUAUCCUCAAAUGUCGCAACAAAAACAGGUAAGUUGCACCACUUUCUGUGCACUUAAUCUCCAGGAACACUCCAAAAAAAGCUGUCUAAUAGGCCCAGAUUUGUUGGUGCACUAAAAGUACAGCUCAAAUCUGCUUCACUUAUUACUGUUCACCUCAUAGCCAGUGUAAUUUCUUGUUGCCAAUCAUCCAUUAUAACAUUAUAAUUCGAGAAGGCCGAGCCACAUUGUGUACCCAGCAGCCUCAGACAAAAGUAGAUGUUCUUAACAACUCAAAUUUUUCUGUAUCGUAGCAUGAAUUUGUGUUCUGACUCUUUUUUUUCAUUUUAUUUCUUUUAUUUUUAUGAAUGAAAAUCGAAAUAAAACUUCUUCUGCAUUCGCACGACCACAUCCCAGUGCUUCCUCUCUAAUAGCCAAAAUAAGCCAUCUGAUUGCUAGCUGUAGCACCAGCAGCGCUACAAUCACAGAUGGGACUCACAGCAGUGCUGGUACAUGAUUGCUUUCGAUGUUCCCCGAGCUGCAGCUAACAUUUCAAGACUGAUAGAAGAUGAAAUGAGGAGGCUGUGCUCAGUAUUGGGUCAGUACUUCCCCCCUCUGUUCACAAAAAGUGUAUUUUUUUUUCCUCCAGUAAUACAGCUAUACCUACUUUUUUUGAUAUUAUUUCUCCACUCCGCUCAAUGCAACAAGUAGUUAAUUUGUCGAAAGGCAACAGUAAGAAACAACAGCAAUAACAGUGAUAAUGGGAUUUUGUUUAUGUGUGUGUGCAGUACCCCGGCCCUACAGCGGGCAUGCGAAGAAGGGUGUGUUGAACCAGAGGCAGCUACAGGAGGUGACUGCAGUGACGACACACUGCCUGCAGGAUAGCCACGCUUGACCCGUCUGAUGUGGCUUCGACCCUGGCCACAACAAAGGAGAAGCAAGGAGACGAGCAUGCGAUAGCCAUGUCAGGCCUCCCGCCCGGCUCCACAGAGGAGUCAGCCAACACUGGACCAGGACCAGACUCUUCACAAGACCUCAGGACUUCCAUCCUCUAGGGGGUCCAAAUGUUUGUCUGUUCCUGCUGCGUCUAAAUGGAACCCAAAAAGGCCACUUUCCAAGCCUGCACCCAAUCCCAAAUCACCUAGUUACCCUAAAUUCUCAAACCCAACACAGACUGCCUUGGAGUCAAACUGUAAUAACUAGUGCACAUGUAUCGCAUUUAUAUUUGGUGUAUAUGUCUGUUUAUUUGUCUGUCUGUCUGUCUGUCUGUGUGUGCAUGUAACGUGAGCGAAAGAGAUACUGUAACACAUUUUGCAUGUAUGAAUAUGUGGAUGAGUGAACAGGAAGAGCAUGUUUUAAAAUACUCUGUGCAAGUGUGAGUGUGGAAAUGUGAUAAAACUGUUCUGUAUUUAGUUUGAUGUCUGUAAACUCUUUAGGCUGAAAUGGAAUUUUUUCACACUGACCACUUCAGUCAUGCUGUUCAAAGUUGUUGAAAAGAACACAGCAGGAGCAGCGACAAUAAGCAAUUUUCCUGUUUUAAUGGCAAUUCAGUACAGUGUGUUCACAAAGUGCUGGCAGUACCACAGAGUGCUAUAUCUGAGCAGUCUCAUUAAACUGUACAACACUGGCCUACGAGGAAAAGAAAGAAAAAAAACAAGAUUUUUCAUUACUGAGAUGGAUUUUAAAAUUUUAUUUGAUUUUUAUUCUACAUAACUCUUGACCUUUGUAUCAUCAUUUGUGAUUUGAGCAAUACAAAAUAAAGAGAUA